Molecule: non-coding RNA, 489 nt
Organism: Cottoperca gobio
Lineage: Eukaryota; Metazoa; Chordata; Actinopteri; Perciformes; Bovichtidae
Source: the annotation of a RefSeq genome assembly
GACAGCUACACUUCACUGACUCUGUGUGUUUGCAUACGUGUCCUGCCUCUCUGCUCCCAGCCGUUAAGAGAUCAGAGUUGAUCGGUGGCUGUCCAGGCCUUUCAGAGACACUGACACGCCGGCAGCACAAUGAUGAUGUCACUGAUUCUACUGCUGGUCACCCUGGGGCUCCUUGUUCAGGAUUCAUCAGGAGAUAUCAUCCUGACUCAGUCUCCUGCAUCUCAGUCUGUUGUUCCAGGUCAGACUGUCUCUAUCAGAUGUAAAGCCAGUUCAAGUGCUCAGUACAUACCUUCACUGGUACCUCCAGAAACCUGAUGAACCUCCCAAACUCUUGAUUUAUAUGCUACUAAUCGUCAGUCUGGAGUUUCAGGUCGUUUUAGUGGAAGUGGAUCUGGGACUGCCUUCACUCUGAGCAUCAGUGGAGUUCAGACUGAAGAUGCAGGAGAUUAUUACUGUCAGCAGAGUAACAGCUUCCCGUUCACACAGUGA